AUUGAACGCUGGCGGCAUGCUUUACACAUGCAAGUCGAACGGUAACAGGGAGCUUGCUCCGCUGACGAGUGGCGAACGGGUGAGUAAUGCAUCGGAACGUACCCAGUCGUGGGGGAUAACGUAGCGAAAGUUACGCUAAUACCGCAUACGUCCUGAGGGAGAAAGCGGGGGACCGUAAGGCCUCGCGCGAUUGGAGCGGCCGAUGUCGGAUUAGCUAGUUGGUGGGGUAAAGGCCUACCAAGGCGACGAUCCGUAGCGGGUCUGAGAGGAUGAUCCGCCACACUGGGACUGAGACACGGCCCAGACUCCUACGGGAGGCAGCAGUGGGGAAUUUUGGACAAUGGGGGCAACCCUGAUCCAGCCAUGCCGCGUGAGUGAAGAAGGCCUUCGGGUUGUAAAGCUCUUUCAGACGGAAAGAAAACGCAUCGGUGAAUACCCGGUGUGGAUGACGGUACCGUAAGAAGAAGCAUCGGCUAACUACGUG
Molecule: ribosomal RNA, 484 nt
Filed under: uncultured bacterium
Lineage: Bacteria
Description: bacterial SSU rRNA
Rfam family: Bacterial small subunit ribosomal RNA
Source: RNAcentral